GGCUGGUCUGAGGGUAGUGAGUUAUCUCAACUGAUUGUUCACAGUCAGUUACAAAUCAAACUUCUUGUUCUACUCUUUGCCCCCUUCUCACUACUGCACUUGAGUAGUCUUAA
Unclassified non-coding RNA from Gorilla gorilla gorilla (western lowland gorilla), 113 nucleotides. It matches the Rfam family "Y RNA". Rfam says of the family: Y RNAs are components of the Ro ribonucleoprotein particle (Ro RNP), in association with Ro60 and La proteins. NCBI's taxonomy places the organism in Eukaryota, Metazoa, Chordata, Mammalia, Primates, Hominidae. The record is from Ensembl.